Molecule: ribosomal RNA, 373 nt
Filed under: uncultured organism
Description: partial 16S ribosomal RNA
Rfam family: Bacterial small subunit ribosomal RNA
Source: RNAcentral
GUAGGUGGCAAGCGUUGUCCGGAAUUAUUGGGCGUAAAGCGCGCGCAGGCGGUUCUUUAAGUCUGAUGUGAAAGCCCACGGCUCAACCGUGGAGGGUCAUUGGAAACUGGAGAACUUGAGUACAGAAGAGGAAAGCGGAAUUCCACGUGUAGCGGUGAAAUGCGUAGAGGUGUGGAGGAACACCAGUGGCGAAGGCGGCUUUCUGGUCUGUAACUGACGCUGAGGCGCGAAAGCGUGGGGAGCAAACAGGGAUUAGAUACCCUGGUAGUCCACGCCGUAAACGAUGAGUGCUAAGUGUUAGGGGGUUUCCGCCCCCUUAGUGCUGCAGCUAACGCAUUAAGCACUCCGCCUGGGGAGUACGGCCGCAAGGCUG